UACGUAGGGUGCGAGCGUUAAUCGGAAUUACUGGGCGUAAAGCGUGCGCAGGCGGUGAGCUGUGUCCGAUGUGAAAGCCCCCGGGCUUAACCUGGGAAUGGCAUUGGAAACUGGCUCGCUGGAGUGUGGCAGAGGGGGGGUGGAAUUCCGCGUGUAGCAGUGAAAUGCGUAGAGAUGCGGAGGAACACCGAUGGCGAAGGCAGCCCCCCUGGGCUAACACUGACGCUCAGGCACGAAAAGCGUGGGGGAGCAAACAGG
Molecule: ribosomal RNA, 258 nt
Filed under: uncultured bacterium
Lineage: Bacteria
Description: partial 16S ribosomal RNA
Rfam family: Bacterial small subunit ribosomal RNA
Source: RNAcentral